GGACAUGGCCCCACAGCAGGGAAGAGGAGAAGGGACACCAGGCUGAUAGGGUUUAGCAGGAGAGUCACUCACUCAAGAAAAAUAUUCUUAAAGAUCCUUUUACAAGAAACCUACAAACCUGAUCUCUUUGGCUGUCAUUUUCUCCUCUAAAUUGACCUUUCUCCAUCCUCAGGAAGCAGCUGUAUUAGUGGGCAGCAGAUCUAAACCUCAAAUACAUGAAGAUGCUUGGAUUAUAAUUUGACAGACAGAACACACAUUCUAGAUCACCUAUCUUGAAGACGGCCCCAUGAAUGGACCCAAGUCCUGCUCCUAAUGCAUCUCAUUUCUCUCUGCUCCCAACUCCUUUCUUGAGCACAUCCUAAUAAAGAUCAUCCCAAGGCCACA
RNAcentral lists this long non-coding RNA (384 nucleotides) under Chinchilla lanigera (long-tailed chinchilla). Its description in RNAcentral is "lncRNA (ENSCLAG00000024624.1)". Lineage: Eukaryota; Metazoa; Chordata; Mammalia; Rodentia; Chinchillidae. The record is from RNAcentral.